GGAAGCUAUAGGAGCAAAAAGACAAAGAACAAAAGGGUAUUAUCACACACGUCAUAUUUAAUUUAUAACACCUGCAAGCCCAUUUUUCCUUAUUAUUGAUAGUUCCCACUAUACUUUUAUUGAACCCAUUUUUUAAACAUUUUUCCAGUUAAAUCCAAUUGUUUUAGAUAGAAAAGUCCAAACUAUUUAUUUUCCAGUACAAUAGCUUGUUUCCCCAUUUUUGGUUUCAUUAAAUAAUAUAAUUUCAAUUUUCUCUAUAACCUUUCCAAAUCCUAAAUAUUGAGUAUUGAAGUUUACUUCUUUUACAUAAUUUCUUAGACAUGAUACUACUUAUAUAAAAAAAAAUUUGUUCAAUUCUGAUAAUUAAACAAUAGUAGCAUGAUUUGCAAUCAAUGAUAUGUCUGGAAAAUCCAUCUACCUUCGUCAUUUGUUUUACCCACAUCUGCAGGGCCAUUGUAUGAAUGAUGUGCCAUAUUGCCACUUCGAUCAUCAUCUGCAAGCAAUACAUAAAAGAAACGCAUAUAAAAACUUCCAACAAACACUUAUGAAAUUUCACAUCACUAGGAAGGGAUACGUGCAAAAUUGAUAAUAAAAUAGUCAAUGAGGUAUGGACAGGGGAGUACCCUUAUCAGGAUAUGCCUUUGGAACUGAUUGGUCACAGGUUCCAAUAUCUGUAGUUUCAGCAUGCUGUAACAAGAGCAAAGAAAAAGAAUAAAGGAGAACCAACUCUUGUUUAGGAGAAUAAUAAUACAGGUCAUUUUCUGAAACAAAAUAAAGUGCAAGUAUAGCUAAGUUAAUAUAUUGAUGUCUUACCAAUGCAUUGUCAUCAGUUAGCGACUGCAUCAAUUGUUUUUUAAAUGUCUCCAACUAGAAAAUAGAAAAAAGGAAAGAUGUCAGGUCUACAUAAAAACCGUGUGGGAAAAAAUAAAAAACAAAUAGCAUUUUAAUCAUCAAGUCAGUAUUAUAUGUACUCUUACAUUGAAAAAUAUGCAUGCAGUAAAAAGGAAUUUAAGAAAAAAGGCAAAUUUAAUACAUAGAAACACACUUGCACACACCAAUUGUUGUGGGAGUUUGAAAUCAUGAAGUAAAGAAAAAGAUAUAUUAAACCUAUUAGUGAAUAAAAAUAAAGAUAAAUUAAAAUCUCCACUACUAAACGCUACUUAUAUUACACUUUUCUUCCUUUUGUUAUGAAAAUCACACUCCUUACCUUAGAGAUUGAUAUAUGCUACACAUUUAUCCAAUUUCAUGUUAACGAGUCUCAUUUAAACACAAUGUUUUCUCUUUCUUUGAAUCUCAAUAACGUCAAUUGGUAUGUUUUGAACCCCUAUUAUCAACUUUGGGACUUUAUGAUGCAAAACCCAGGGCCCAAAAUCACUAAUGUUUAUGUGAGAUGGCCCAAGAAAGGAACCGCAGUUGAUGAGAGUUUUAAUGGGAAUGAUGCACCAGAUCCUAAGAGUGAGAGUCAAAAGUAACUUAAUAGGAGCAGUAGUGGGAGUAGUAGGCAUGGGAUUGUGGGUAGGGAGAGAGAAUAUAUGCAAGGGGUCAAGAGUGGAAGAAGGCGGUAGGGGGAAAUUGGUUGGAACUUUAGGUCUCUCAAAUUGCACAAGAGUUUUAUUGUUCUUUGUGGUGACUAACUAGAUGGUCGGACUUGCAAGAGAGAGAUGAGCACAAUGGUUGCAGUGGGUGCUACUUAAUCACACUGGAGAGACAUAGAUCUGAAAAAAAAAAAAAAAGAGGUGACCGAAAAAAGAGCCGGUGUCGUGCAGCUUGAUGGUGCCAAAGAAAGGUGGACAAUCGGCAAUGACAAGACGAGUCCAGUGGUGCUGGAAAUGACAGCUGCUGCAUAGCAGAAUAUGGCUCACCAGAGAAGAACAGUUUGCUCGCCAGAAAAAGGUGGCCAGCGGCAAACAGCUGUGAACGGUAGCCUGCAACAGACAUUUGGCAGACUUGACUAGAGACAACAGAGCGGGAGCAGGAUCAAACCCACUAUGAUACCAUGUUGGAAUAUAUAUUACAUUGUUUAAGUGUCUAAGUUCUAUACUCAGUUGCAUAUUGUCUAGGUUCUAACUAGGAUUUAUAUAUAUAUAUAUACUUAGGCUUUUCAGAAUACAAAAAAAUGCCCGCUAUAGCGCCCGCUAUCACGCCGGAGCGGAGCAGCCCCUACGGCGAAGACCCCUGUCACUGGGUGGAAUGAAGGAGAGGUCAUCGUGCUUACAAUUGCGGCAAAGCGGGACAGCGCAAUCAUGGGUUUUGUUGUGAUUGUCCCACCACAAUCCUAGUUUUGAACGAAAAUUCAAAAAUGCCCUCAUUAUUACAUCAUUAGUGAGAGUUAUUUUGGGUAAAAUCGUUUUGUUUUGUUUGGGUCCCUUCUAAAAUCGAAACCAGACUCAAGAGAACAACUCAGAGAAGUGAGAACCCUAGGAGAAACGGCACACUCUAUUCCUUCUACAGCGUCAAGCACACCUCUCUGUUCCUUCUCUGGCAACCGGCGACCGUCAUCCUCCCUCCUUUGUUCGUUUCUUUCAUUCAAUCUCAGACGCACCUUUAUGUUCUUUGCUUGUAGAUUCUCCGUUCUCUUUGAUCCUAUGUUUCUUUCUUUUCUUUUUUUAUUUUUUUUCUUCUCUCAUUCUUUCCUUUUAUUGCUUGCCUCCUUGCUCUCAUUAUUCUCUUAUUCUUUUUUUUCUUCUCAUUUGGGUGUUUUACUGUGCAUAGUGCCACUGCCAUGGCUUCUAAUGAUCAACAAAAAAAAAGAUACCUACACAAUGGGGUCUUCAACUGGAAUGUUCAAGCCUACGGGUGAUAAGGUUGAUAUUUUUUGGAAGUGGAACAGCUUGAAGGAUAAAAAUAAUAGGAAGUGUUACCUAUGAUUUUGGUCAUAAAACAUCUACCGGAGGAAUUACUAGAGCCAAAAAACAUCAACUCAACAUUAUAAGAGAUGCUAAUUCUUGUAGAAAAGUACCAGAGGAUGUUAAAUUAGAAAUGCAGACAGCUUUUGACAAGAAAAAAGCUGAUAUUGAGGCCAUGGAGUCCACACAAGAAGAAAAUGAAGAAGAGGAAGUUAGCAUCCACGAGAUUGCAAGACUUAGAAAAAGUGGAAAAAAGCCUCCAAUAUCAUAAAGUGAAGGCUCUUCAGUUGCUGCCAAGAAGAGGACCACAAAUAACAGAGGAGCUCUUGAUUAUUUUUCUCCAAAAAACCUGAAGAAAAUGUCAAAUUAGGAAAAGCCAUGAGACAAACAAGUUUGAAAGAUCCUUAUGACAAGUUUGAAAGAUCCUUAUGACAAGAUGUCAAGAGAUACGGCAAUUCAAUACAUUUCCUGUUUCUUUUUUAGGAAUGAUCAUUCAAUGUUGCUAGAUCAAAAAGUUUCAAGUUGAUGAUUGAUGCUACUGGAUCCUAUGGUGCUCAUUUAAAGCCUCCAAACUAUCAUGAGUUGAGAGUUACACUCCUUAAAAAGGAGUUGGAUUACAGGAAGGGCUUAUUGCAAGUUCAUGCGGAGGAGCGAAUAAAAUAUGGAUGCUCAAUUAUGUCAGAUGGUUGGACUGAUAGGAAGAAUAGGACUUUGAUUAACUUUUUGAUAAAUUGUUCCUUGGGAACAAAAUUUGUGAAGAGUGUGCUUCUGAAUUUAUGAAGACCAAUGACAAGAUCUUUUGAUCUUUUGAAUGGCUUUGGUAAGAAGAUUGGAGAAAAGAAUGCGAUUCAAGCGGUGACCGACAAUGGAGGUAACUAUAAAUUGGUAGGUAAAAUUUUAGAAGUGACAAGACCAAAAUUAUUUUAGACUCCAUGUGUUGCACAUUGUCUUGACUUGAUGUUAGAGAAUAUUGGAAAGAUCCCAAAGGUUAAAAGAGUUAUACAAAGAGGCAUCAAGCUGUAAGCUACAUUUACAACCAUACAUUGGCUUUGAACACCAUGAGGAAACUCACUAACAAGAUCGAAUUGGUGAGGACUCGAGUUACAAGAUUUACUACCACCUUCUUAACUUUGCAAAGAUCAUAAGCAAAGGGUCAAUCUAAGAAGGAUGUUUACUUCAGAAGAAUGGAUGAAGUCAAAGGCAGCUAAGGAACCUAAGGGAAAGAAAGCAACAAAUGUUGUUCUCAUGGCAUCGUUCCAGUUUGAUGUUGCCUUCACUUUGAAGACUAUGGGGCCUCUUGUAAGUGUAUUGAGGUUGGUGGAUAACGAAAAAAAAAAAACUUACAAUGAGUUUCAUUUAUGAGGCAAUGGAUAGGGCCAAGGAGACAAUUCAAAGAGCUUUCAAUGAUAAUAAAGAGAAGUAUAAGAAUAUCUUUGCCAUCAUUCAUCACAGAUGGGAUUGCCAACUUUACCACCCUUUGCAUAUGACGGGUUAUUAUCUAAAUCCUAGGUUCUAUUACACCAAUUCAAACAUUGACAAAGAUGUUGAAAUGGAAGAUGGCCUCAACAAAUGUAUUGUCAAGCUUAGUGAAGAUGAUGAGUUUGAAGUUGCAGUUCACAAAGAGUUGUUAAUCUAUAAGAGGGGUGGAUACAGGUUUGGUAUGACUACAGCAAUAAAAGCAAGGACUUUGUCUCCUGUUGAGGGGAGGAAACCAUGGAGGAAAAACACCACACAUGCAAAUCAUUGCCAUUAAAAUCCUAAGUUUGACUUGUAGCUCAUCGAGAUGUGAGCAUAAUUGGAGUACCUUUGAGCAUAUUCACUCAAAGAAGAGAAGUAGGCUUGAGCACCAAAAGCUAAGACUUGGUUUUAAUUCUCAUGAUGCGAUUGAUCUCAUUGCUUUAAAUGACAUUGAUGAAAGCAAUGAGUGGUUAUUGGGAGAGUUGGAAGAAGAAGAAAAUGACUUUGUUUUUGAAGAGGAAGUUUGAGUUGGUUAGAUGUUGAUAUUGCAAAUGGGGUUGGUGAACCUUUGAAAUACACCAGGAGACAAACACAAAUGAAGAAGGUAAAUGAUGCAAAUGAAAAAGGAAAAAAGGUGGCACAAGUGGAAGAAGAGAAUGAAGAUGAAGGGGAGGAAGAGUACAUUUCUAAUGCUAGUGAGAAUGAAGGAGAAUUACAAAAAAAUGAUGAAGAUCUUGAAGAGGAUGAAGAUCUUGAAGAGGAUGAAGAUUGAAGAUUCUGAAUUUCCGAAUUCUUAUUAUUAUUUAGAAACUUGCAUCUGUCUACUUUAUGUUUAAGUACUAUGUUUGGUUUUAAUUUUUAAGGUUUUUUUUUUGUUUUUUUUUCAGCAAAAAUAUUUAAUUUUUAAUUUUUAAGUACAAUGAGUUUUUAUUAUUAAUGAUGAUUAGUACAUGAAUUAUGAGUUAUGUUUCUGUUUUUGAAUGCUUAUAUAUAAUAUUGAACAUCUAUAAAAAAAAAUUAGAAUAAUGGCCAUCCCACUAUCCGCUAUCCCACUUUAGGGGUUGGCCGCUCCAUGCCGCGAUGGCAGCAUUGACUACUAUGUUCUGUCAAAGAUAAAAGUAACUUAAUAUCUAACAAAAAACUUUACAAUUUUAUAACAACUAAAGUCGUAAAACAAAAUUUUAUAGGGACCAAAACCGUAAGAAAACUUUCUAUUGAUUAGGACAAUUGACUGAAGAAAUAAGGCAUGUUUGCCUAUAAAUAAGAGGGGAAGGGAGGUGGAGAGAGAGAUUUCUUGUCCAAAUUUGACAGAAUUGGGGGCUUUGGGCAUUGAGAAGUGCAGACCCUCAGAUCUGCAAUUAGGGACUUUUAUGAUUGAGAAAGCAGUGCAAGGAGUGGAUCCCAGACCUCUCGAAAUAUCUGGAUAUAGAAGCAAUAUCUGCAAUUAGGGGCUUCUCCCUAGUUUCAUUCAAUAAAAAAACCAUUCGUUCUCACUAUUAUGAUUAUGAUACUUCUAUCAUCCCUAGUUUGGUUUUGUUGAAUACAACAUGAUUUAUUGAUAUUAAUAUCAAAUAUUUUUUUAACUACAUGAAUAGCUUUCACCAAAUCCUAAAGGAAAUCUAGGGAUCUCCCAUUCACUUGCAGAUAUCUUUCCUUAAAAAUAUAACAAACAAAGCCAUUUCUAGGAAAACUAGUUGUUUUACAAGCCAUAACUAGUGCAGUUGCCAACAUAAGGAGGCUGCUGGUUAUGGCCACAUUCAGAACUUCUCGACAAAUGUAAUUAUUUGCUUGGCUUUGCACCUUUUUCAUGGUUAUAUGUUAUAGUGUUAGUUUGUAAAUUACAAUUUCCUGCUAGAAACAGACAAUUGCAUAGCCAUGUCUUCUGACAUUGGUAAUUUGGUAUAAUUUACUUUGGCUAUAUCAGUAUAAUCUGAAGCAGUCAGGAACUUAGGGAUAUGAAUUCUUCGCCUGAAAUCAUGGCUUAGCAGGGGUCAUGAGAUUUUCCAAUGUAAAGAAACAUUUUUACACAAAACAAAGCAAACUUUAAUACAACCCAAGAGUAGUAACGAAUUAUUUUCAAGCAUACACCGCACAAUGAUAGAAUUGGAAACAAAUGUUUGGGCAGAAAAAAUCACCCCCAAGAAGUUAAUAUUGCUUGACUAUCUUCAUAAUUGAUAACUUGAAACAAAUGAUCAAUAACAUUUCACUGUCUUGCAAAAAUGUAAAACAUAGGAAGGGAUAGGAAACUGAGCAUAGUUCUAGCACAAACAAUGGCAGCAGCCGAAAAUUUCUGAAGAGCAUGGAGUCAUAAACAGACCGGAUAUACACUCAACAAAUAAAUAAAAAGCAAGUCAUAAUACAGAAAUGAAAUAAAUAGUCACCUUGGCGAAGUCUCGACUUAGCUUCUUCACUGUUGCUGCCAAUUGAUCCCUCUCCUUCGUAAGCUUUAUCUACAAAAAAAAAAAAAAAA
Molecule: long non-coding RNA, 6774 nt
Organism: Glycine soja
Lineage: Eukaryota; Viridiplantae; Streptophyta; Magnoliopsida; Fabales; Fabaceae
Exons: 4
Source: RefSeq, a predicted model, not a curated record